CACACUGCGUGGGUUCAGCCGUGGUCAAGCCGACCUCUCAGGCAGUGGACGUGGGCAUGGAGUGAGGGUCACCCCUCGGGUCCUUGCAGUUGGGGAGCAAGGCACCGCCGGUGGCUCGAGUGGGCGGGGCUCCCUAUUGUAGGGUGUCCUUGUUCCCUGGCCUUUGUUUUCCCAGCACGUACGACGGCCAAGGCUGUGUUGGGUGAGGUGGUGGUGACCACACGGCUGGAAGGGCUGUGUUGGGUGAGGUGGUGGUGACCACAGGGCUGGAAGGGCUGUGUUGGGUGAGGUGGUGGUGACCACACGGCUGGAAGGGCUGUGUUGGGUGAGGUGGUGGUGACCACACGGCUGGAAGGGCUGGGGUGGGUGAGGUGGUGGUGACCACACGGCUGGAAGGGCUGUGUUGGGUGAGGUGGUGGUGACCACACGGCUGGAAGGGCUGUGUUGGGUGAGGUGGUGGUGACCACACGGCUGGAAGGGCUGGGGUGGGUGAGGUGGUGGUGACCACACGGCUGGAAGGGCUGUGUUGGGUGAGGUGGUGGUGACCACACGGCUGGAAGGGCUGUGUUGGGUGAGGUGGUGGUGACCACACGGCUGGAAGGGCUGGGGUGGGUGAGGUGGUGGUGACCACAGCUGCAGCCGAGUAGACACAUCCCUUCCCUGGGACUGCGCUGGCUGCCUGCAGGAACCCUCUCUGUGGCCUGCCAGCGAUGGAGGCGGGUGGAGGGCGCGAGGCUGCCUGUGAGUGACAGCUGCCUGCGUUCUUGAGGACGGGCCUGCUUGUUUCCUGUGGGUGAGCCACCAGCUGUACCGACGGGGAGCCGUCCGUCUCGUGCCGUGUGGCCUGUCACCGGGCCCGGCAGUCACCCUGUCUGUCCACAGCCACCUCUCCUCGCAGGCCUUCUUGCUUCGGCCCUGGCCCCCAGGAUGUAGGCAAGGCCUCAGGUGCCUCCAGCUGGUGUUGAGGCUGGCUGGCCGGAAUGCUCCUUGGGGGCAGGAGCCUCUGCCCCUUCCAGCUCCUUCCGCGUGCUCCCUGACUCCCACGCUGGUCACGGCACUUGCUGCCACACUCAGGUUGGGGAACAGAGGGAGGCAUGGGAGUGGGGCCCAAGCUCGGCACGCGUUUGCUGCCGCCUGAGCCAGGAGGAGGAAGGGGGAGUCCAGCCAGGACCCUCAGCAUUCCUGAGACGCCCGAAGGGCAACAUUGCAACAAAGACUGGUCACACAGCAUCCAGCUGGGCUCCCCGGCGUGACCUGCGCAGAGCCUGGGCUGCGGCAUGGUCAGGCACUUGGUAGGCAGCAGACCCGUGGGCUCUGGGAGCAGCUGGGCCGGCCUGCAGGGUGGGAAGCAGCAGUGAGGGAGACAGGUUGCUGAGGUGCCCCGAGCCCUGGCCUGCCGCAUGCCUCAUCCCCUCUGCCUGUCCCUGCUGCUGCCCCCAGCACGUCUUGCCUGCCCCUGACACCGUAUAGACAGUCCCGCUAGUCUGGUGAGAAGGUGGCCUCUGCUCCGGGGCAGGGGCACGUGGUCUUCUGACUCCCAGGGUGGUGCCCCUGGAGCAUCAGUGGCAGCUGCCCACGGAGUGGAGUCCCUUCUGUGAGUGGCCUGGGCACAGCUCGGGUGGAGGAAGACGGGCCCCUUUGUUCGUCACAAGCGCUAUGCUCACACUAACUUUACUUGGUUGUGGUUCCAUGUCCAGUCCAGCAGAACCCGCCAGAGCCCUCCCUCCCCUGUCCACUUUGUCCUGAUGUCCCCCUCUCCCCACCCCCCACCUGCUCUGGGCCACUGAGCCCCUGGACCCCAGAGUCACACAGGCCUCCUGUAACCGUGAGUUCCUGUUUUAGAGAGAGAGCAAGAGAGAAGUAUCCAGGUGGACAGGCUGAGUCCCUGGGGAGCCGACGUGGACUCCUGACGCUGGACCCUGGUCUCUGGGUCCCAGCACCUGGGUGUCUGGCACACAUGGGUGUGCUGUGACCGUUUGUUGAAUGACUGUUGGUGUCCAAGUUUCAUUUAUGCAGUGGCGUGGAUGGAGUAACUGACCCACGUGGAGGAGCAUCUGCCAGAGCCCAGGAGAAGGAAGCAGGCCGUGAGCAGUGAGGUGGUCGAGGCAGGUGGCCCCGUGGUCUCUCCCCAUGAUCAAGGAGGAGGACCCGAGGCAGUGUCUAGUCCCCUGCCGGGCUCUGCAUCUUCUGCCGACCCCGUGGCAUCCCGUGUGGUGGGUGCCACUGGGCCGUCUUACGGGUGUGAGGUCGCACUCAGCCAGGUCAGGAGUUCUGACCACGGGCCAGGCCAGGGUCUGUGAGUGGCUUGGCCGCCGGCCCUGAGCUCUCUGCUGUGGCUCUCAACGUCUCAGCACACUUGCCUGGCCACACGCCUGGCCUGUGAGCCCCGUGCAUGGGGUCAGAACGGGAGGGUGGGGAGCGCCGCGGCUGGGACCCUCCCUGGCCGCACAGGACAUCUGCUUCUUGCUGGUCUUGAGCUGUGAGCCUGUGUGUUUCCACCCCCAACUGCAGUGAACCUGGGUCCUCCGAGAGGCGCUCACCUGACAUGGGAUUUGAGGACAGCGUCGAGCGUCGCAAGGGGUGGGUGGAGAGUGACAGCUUUCCUAGGAGGUGGGUUUUCAAGGCCUUGCUGCUCCGUGUGUCAGGGCUGGAGGCCUCUGUUUGCUUCUGAGCUCUCGGUGACGGGCAGCUGUCGGUGACGAGCCGGUGCGAGCUGCCCAGCCCUGGCAGCACCCCGUGCUGGGGACUCUGAGGGGGCCUGCUGCCGAGCCCACUGGGUCUCUGGGUUUAUGUUGCAGCAACGAGGGUCUUCUUUUAAAGGCACCUGAACGUCUUGCUCUUUGUGUUUCAUCAUGACGGGCUCUGGGAUGAGCUCUCUGCUCCUGGGUGCCUGGGCUCCAGGGGACUUGGGUGAAGUGGCUGUCCUCCAGCUGAGUGGGGCUCUGGGGGCUCGGGGCCUCUGGAGAAAGUGCCUCAUCUGGACAGGACCACGGCGGUUCACGCCCUGGCUGUUGGUGCGUGUUUUGUGCACUUGUCGGCUCCAUUCAUCAUUAAACCCGGACGCCAGAAGCCAGUUUCCCGGGUGAUUCUAGCAUGGGGAUCAGUCCCCCCUUAAGCCUCUGCAGCUGCUCUUCAGGGCUUCUGAGUUCUUUUUGGGAAAAGUUGUUGGUGCCAGGCAGGUAAGUAAUUGCCAAAUUACAUAGCAGGGCAACGCUGUCAGGAGAGGCGAAUGAUUUAGUUAGAAACCAGCUCAGCGGCUGAGCCUCUUGGACGCCUUCCUGUUGUUACGUGUGUCUCAUGCCUGUCGGCCCCUCACAUCCCAGCAUCUGGGUGGAUGCGAAAGGCAGCCUGUCAUUUACGUUUUACCAUCAAGGCCUUGUCUUUGUCCACGUAAAGUGUGCUUGCAGCCCCCAAAAUGACAUUCAGGAUCAUUUAAGAUAGCUGCUGGCGUCUCUCGACUGUCAGCCUGUGAUGGGUGCAGCCGCUCCGCCUCCCACAGCCUCCCCGCACCUCCCCGCCGGGCCACACUGGCCUCUGCUCUGUUGGGACAGGAAUGGCGGGGACGGCGGUCUCUCGCGGGGCUGUUCUGUCCAGGUGCUCCCUCCUCUGCCCAGUCUGCUCUGCCUCGCUUGUGGUCCCCACUUGGCUGUGUUGCUGGGAGUCCCUCCAGGGUGUGUCCUGUCCUGCUUACCCUCGGCGCAGGACGUUCAGCUGGGCCUCAGCACGCGCAGUACUCUGAUAGAAAUUUCACAAGGAAUGGCUGCACACCUUCACUGCUGCUUUUCAACAAAGUCCAACGUCCAGGGACAGCAUCAACUUCUGUCCCUUCUAGUAUUUUUUUUUUAAUUAUGUAUUUUACUUGAAAGGCAGAGUUAUGGAGAGGCAGAGGU
This is a non-coding RNA of Oryctolagus cuniculus (rabbit), 3890 nucleotides long. The record is from RefSeq and is a predicted model, not a curated record. NCBI's taxonomy places the organism in Eukaryota, Metazoa, Chordata, Mammalia, Lagomorpha, Leporidae.